RNAcentral lists this non-coding RNA (84 nucleotides) under uncultured Coprococcus sp. RNAcentral's name for it is "S10-Clostridia ribosomal protein leader". It matches the Rfam family "S10-Clostridia ribosomal protein leader". The record is from RNAcentral. Lineage: Bacteria; Bacillati; Bacillota; Clostridia; Lachnospirales; Lachnospiraceae.
UGAUAGCUGUGAAGCGGAGGUUGCUGUAUCGAUAUGAUGCAGGUUUUUCGUGGAGCGAAUGUCAAUUUACAAAACUGGCGACAA